CUUCAGCGACCCCAGGCGCAGCGGACGGUCGAGCGGGCGGUCCUGACCGUAGGUGGCCAGCAGCGCGGACGCCUC
Molecule: antisense RNA, 75 nt
Filed under: Frankia sp. AcoPraII.1
Lineage: Bacteria; Bacillati; Actinomycetota; Actinomycetes; Frankiales; Frankiaceae
Description: ASpks
Rfam family: ASpks TB sRNA
Source: RNAcentral